Molecule: ribosomal RNA, 497 nt
Filed under: uncultured bacterium
Lineage: Bacteria
Description: partial 16S ribosomal RNA
Rfam family: Bacterial small subunit ribosomal RNA
Source: RNAcentral
GAUGAACGCUGGCGGCGUGCCUAAUACAUGCAAGUCGAGCGAACGGACGAGAAGCUUGCUUCUCUGAUGUUAGCGGCGGACGGGUGAGUAACACGUGGAUAACCUACCUAUAAGACUGGGAUAACUUCGGGAAACCGGAGCUAAUACCGGAUGAUAUUUUGAACCGCAUGGUUCAAAAGUGAAAGACGGUCUUGCUGUCACUUAUAGAUGGAUCCGCGCUGCACUAGCUAGUUGGUAAUGUAACGGCUUACCAAGGCAACGAUGCAUAGCCGACCUGAGAGGGUGAUCGGCCACACUGGAACUGAGACACGGUCCAGACUCCUACGGGAGGCAGCAGUAGGGAAUCUUCCGCAAUGGGCGAAAGCCUGACGGAGCAACGCCGCGUGAGUGAUGAAGGUCUUCGGAUCGUAAAACUCUGUUAUUAGGGAAGAACAUAUGUGUAAGUAACUGUGCACAUCUUGACGGUACCUAAUCAGAAAGCCACGGCUAACUACGUG